GAUGAACGCUGGCGGCGUGCCUAAUACAUGCAAGUCGAGCGAACAGACGAGGAGCUUACUCCUCUGACGUUAGCGGCGGACGGGUGAGUAACACGUGGAUAACCUACCUAUAAGACUGGGAUAACUUCGGGAAACCGGAGCUAAUACCGGAUAACAUGUUGAACCGCAUGGUUCAACAGUGAAAGACGGUCUUGCUGUCACUUAUAGAUGGAUCCGCGUCGCAUUAGCUAGUUGGUAAGGUAACGGCUUACCAAGGCAACGAUUCGUAGCCGACCUGAGAGGGUGAUCGGCCACACUGGAACUGAGACACGGUCCAGACUCCUACGGGAGGCAGCAGUAGGGAAUCUUCCGCAAUGGGCGAAAGCCUGACGGAGCAACGCCGCGUGAGUGAAGAAGGUCUUCGGAUCGUAAAACUCUGUUAUUAGGGAAGAACAAAUGUGUAAGUAACUAUGCACGUCCUGACGGUACCUAAUCAGAAAGCCACGGCUAACUACGUG
RNAcentral lists this ribosomal RNA (497 nucleotides) under uncultured bacterium. RNAcentral's name for it is "partial 16S ribosomal RNA". It matches the Rfam family "Bacterial small subunit ribosomal RNA", at positions 28 to 507 of the family's 1533-position model. The record is from RNAcentral.